This is a long non-coding RNA of Drosophila montana, 823 nucleotides long. RefSeq lists it as uncharacterized. The record is from RefSeq and is a predicted model, not a curated record. NCBI's taxonomy places the organism in Eukaryota, Metazoa, Arthropoda, Insecta, Diptera, Drosophilidae. The transcript has 2 exons.
GUUACCUAUUCAAAAUAUGUAUAUAUUCAAAGUAAUAAUAACGUAAACUAAAAAUAACAGUGACAUGAAGGAAGUUUUCAUGGUUAUCAACCUUCAUUAAUUCAGGAUGUGUUCGGGGCUGUGGUCAGUGCGUGCAAGCAUCUGCUGAUAACAAGCGAGCACGAUUUUCUGCCUGUGUGUGUACGUGUGUGUGUGUGUGUGUUAGUGUUUGUACUGGAAACACCCGCGGGGCAAGACCAGAACAGACGCUCGCCGACUAAAACAGACCGCACAGCACAGCAGGCGUUCGUGGGUUAGCACAUGUAAAAUGCCAAAAACUUUGAAAAGAAACCCAACCAGUGCGAUAGAAAUCAGCUUGAAAAAUGAAAGCGAGCAAAGCAAACAAUGAGCCGGAGCCGAGCCACACCCACCCAACGGCUACACACCGGGCGUAUACUUGAUGUUAGUUUUGCUCGGGCCCAAACAUUUUACAGCAUAAAUUUUGACAGGCCGUGAGACACGGCAAUUGCUUUGGGCCCAACAACAGGAAACAGGCAAUAAAAAAGAAGAGUAGAAGACUUUACAGGACGGCAGCGAAUAGAUCGUAAGCCGUAACAAAUGUUGAGCCAUGCGUCACUCAUACGCCACGUAGCACCAGGCUGCCAGGUGGGAUGGCAGGUGACAGAGGUUAGAGGCACCUGCUGUGCGGCAUGUCAUGUGUGUGUGUGUGUGUGUACUUGAAAUGAAUGUCCUCUAGUCAAAUUGACAAUAUGCAAGUGUGUGAGUGUGAGUGGGCUGCCCGGCUGGCAGAAAAUUUCAAUAAAAACAAAUUGAUUGUUUCGAA